GCUAAUACCGCAUAAUGCCUACGGGCCAAAGAGGGGGACCUUCGGGCCUCUCGCGUCAAGAUAUGCCUAGGUGGGAUUAGCUAGUUGGUGAGGUAAUGGCUCACCAAGGCGACGAUCCCUAGCUGGUCUGAGAGGAUGAUCAGCCACACUGGAACUGAGACACGGUCCAGACUCCUACGGGAGGCAGCAGUGGGGAAUAUUGCACAAUGGGCGAAAGCCUGAUGCAGCCAUGCCGCGUGUAUGAAGAAGGCCUUCGGGUUGUAAAGUACUUUCAGUUGUGAGGAAGGGGGUAGUGUUAAUAGCGCUAUCUCUUGACGUUAGCAACAGAAGAAGCACCGGCUAACUCCGUGCCAGCAGCCGCGGUAAUACGGAGGGUGCGAGCGUUAAUCGGAAUUACUGGGCGUAAAGCGCAUGCAGGUGGUUCAUUAAGUCAGAUGUGAAAGCCCGGGGCUCAACCUCGGAACUGCAUUUGAAACUGGUGAACUAGAGUACUGUAGAGGGGGGUAGAAUUUCAGGUGUAGCGGUGAAAUGCGUAGAGAUCUGAAGGAAUACCAGUGGCGAAGGCGGCCCCCUGGA
RNAcentral lists this ribosomal RNA (576 nucleotides) under uncultured Vibrio sp. Its description in RNAcentral is "bacterial SSU rRNA". It matches the Rfam family "Bacterial small subunit ribosomal RNA", at positions 162 to 733 of the family's 1533-position model. Lineage: Bacteria; Pseudomonadati; Pseudomonadota; Gammaproteobacteria; Vibrionales; Vibrionaceae. The record is from RNAcentral.